This 315-nucleotide ribosomal RNA is filed under the name Triticum aestivum (bread wheat). RNAcentral's name for it is "partial small subunit ribosomal RNA". Lineage: Eukaryota; Viridiplantae; Streptophyta; Magnoliopsida; Poales; Poaceae. The record is from RNAcentral.
AUGCCAUGCCUCUUUAAACCGGACAUGCAUCGUACUUGGUUGCGCAUCAUGCCAUGUUUAUGUGAUGGUUGUUUACUAGGUUGUUUGCUUCUUUCUGGUUUGCUUCUCUCGUUACGGGUUUCGUUCCGGAGUUGUGAGGAUUCGUUCGACACGCCCGUUCGUCUUCUUCUUGGACUCGUUCUUCUUCCUUGCGGGAUCUCAGGCAAGAUGACCAUAUCCUCAAAAUCACUUCUAUCUUUGCUUGCUAGUUGUUCGCUCUAUUGCUAUGCCGCGCUAUCUACCACUUGCUAUAUCAUGCCUCCCAUAUUGCCAUGA